GACGAACAGUCCUAACGUUGUUCGGAAUCACUGGGCUUAAAGGGCGCGUAGGCGGCCCAUCAAGUCCGGGGUGAAAGCCUCCAGCUUAACUGGAGAAGUGCCUCGGAUACUGGUGGGCUCGAGGGAGGUAGGGGCAACUGGAACUUCCGGUGGAGCGGUGAAAUGCGUUGAUAUCGGAAGGAUCGCCGGUGGCGAAAGCGAGUUGCUGGAUCUCUUCUGACGCUGAGGCGAGAAAGCUAGGGGAGCAAACGGG
Molecule: ribosomal RNA, 253 nt
Filed under: uncultured bacterium
Lineage: Bacteria
Description: partial 16S ribosomal RNA
Rfam family: Bacterial small subunit ribosomal RNA
Source: RNAcentral